GCCUGGGUGGCUCAGUCGGUUGAGUGUCAGACUUCUGCUCAGGUCGUGAUCUCGAAGGUUGUGGAUUCGAGCCCCGCAUCAGGCU
This 85-nucleotide transfer RNA is filed under the name Felis catus (domestic cat). It matches the Rfam family "tRNA". From Rfam's summary of the family: Transfer RNA (tRNA) molecules are approximately 80 nucleotides in length. Their secondary structure includes four short double-helical elements and three loops (D, anti-codon, and T loops). Further hydrogen bonds mediate the characteristic L-shaped molecular structure. tRNAs have two regions of fundamental functional importance: the anti-codon, which is responsible for specific mRNA codon recognition, and the 3' end, to which the tRNAs corresponding amino acid is attached (by aminoacyl-tRNA synthetases). tRNAs cope with the degeneracy of the genetic code in two manners: having more than one tRNA (with a specific anti-codon) for a particular amino acid; and 'wobble' base-pairing, i.e. permitting non-standard base-pairing at the 3rd anti-codon position. The record is from Rfam by way of RNAcentral. Lineage: Eukaryota; Metazoa; Chordata; Mammalia; Carnivora; Felidae.